UACAGAGGUCCCAAGCGUUGUUCGGAUUCACUGGGCGUAAAGGGUGCGUAGGCGGUCGGGUAAGUCUGAUGUGAAAUCUCACAGCUUAACUGUGAAACUGCAUUGGAUACUAUCCGGCUAGAGGAAUGGAGGGGAGACUGGAAUACUUGGUGUAGCAGUGAAAUGCGUAGAUAUCAAGUGGAACACCAGUGGCGAAGGCGAGUCUCUGGACGACUCCUGACACUGAGGCACGAAAGCUAGGGGAGCAAACAGG
This 253-nucleotide ribosomal RNA is filed under the name uncultured bacterium. RNAcentral describes it as "partial 16S ribosomal RNA". It matches the Rfam family "Bacterial small subunit ribosomal RNA", at positions 524 to 776 of the family's 1533-position model. The record is from RNAcentral.